UACGGGGGGGGCAAGCGUUGUUCGGAAUUACUGGGCGUAAAGGGCUCGUAGGCGGCCAACUAAGUCAGACGUGAAAUCCCUCGGCUUAACCGGGGAACUGCGUCUGAUACUGGAUGGCUUGAGUUUGGGAGAGGGACGCGGAAUUCCAGGUGUAGCGGUGAAAUGCGUAGAUAUCGGGAGGAAUACCUAUGGCGAAAGCAGGCUACUGGACCAUCACUGACGCUGAUCUGCGAAAGCUAGGGGAGCAAACAGG
RNAcentral lists this ribosomal RNA (253 nucleotides) under uncultured bacterium. Its description in RNAcentral is "partial 16S ribosomal RNA". It matches the Rfam family "Bacterial small subunit ribosomal RNA", at positions 524 to 776 of the family's 1533-position model. The record is from RNAcentral.